Molecule: transfer RNA, 59 nt
Filed under: Camelus bactrianus (Bactrian camel)
Lineage: Eukaryota; Metazoa; Chordata; Mammalia; Artiodactyla; Camelidae
Also listed under: 2 other names
Rfam family: tRNA
About the family: Transfer RNA (tRNA) molecules are approximately 80 nucleotides in length.
Source: Rfam by way of RNAcentral
AUAGCUCAGUGGUACAGCAAGUGCUUAACAUGCACAAGGUCUUGGGUUCAAUCCCCAGU